This 600-nucleotide ribosomal RNA is filed under the name uncultured bacterium. Its description in RNAcentral is "bacterial SSU rRNA". It matches the Rfam family "Bacterial small subunit ribosomal RNA", at positions 737 to 1342 of the family's 1533-position model. The record is from RNAcentral.
UUACUGACGCUGAAGCUCGAAGGCGCGGGUAUCGAACAGGAUUAGAUACCCUGGUAGUCCGCGCGGUAAACGAUGGAUGCCCGCUGUUGGCUUGUAUUAGUCAGCGGCCAAGCGAAAGCAUUAAGCAUCCCACCUGGGGAGUACGCCGGCAACGGUGAAACUCAAAGGAAUUGACGGGGGCCCGCACAAGCGGAGGAACAUGUGGUUUAAUUCGAUGAUACGCGAGGAACCUUACCCGGGCUUGAACUGCAGCGGAACGAUCCAGAGAUGGUGAGGCCCUUCGGGGCUGCUGCGGAGGUGCUGCAUGGUUGUCGUCAGCUCGUGCCGUGAGGUGUCGGCUUAAGUGCCAUGACGAGCGCAACCCCUGUCCCCAGUUGCCAUCACUUCGGGUGGGCACUCUGUGGAUACUGCCACCGUAAGGUGCGAGGAAGGUGGGGAUGACGUCAAAUCAGCACGGCCCUUACGUCCGGGGCUACACACGUGUUACAAUGGCGCGUACAGAGGGUUGGCGUCCGGCAACGUCCGUCUAAUCCCAAAAACGCGUCUCAGUUCGGAUUGGGGUCUGCAACCCGACCCCAUGAAGCUGGAUUCGCUAGUAAU